Molecule: transfer RNA, 73 nt
Filed under: Oleidesulfovibrio alaskensis G20
Lineage: Bacteria; Pseudomonadati; Thermodesulfobacteriota; Desulfovibrionia; Desulfovibrionales; Desulfovibrionaceae
Description: Desulfovibrio alaskensis G20 tRNA
Rfam family: tRNA
About the family: Transfer RNA (tRNA) molecules are approximately 80 nucleotides in length. Their secondary structure includes four short double-helical elements and three loops (D, anti-codon, and T loops).
Source: Rfam by way of RNAcentral
GGACGGUUAGCUCAGCUGGUAGAGCACUGCCUUCACACGGCAGGGGCCACAGGUUCAAGUCCUGUACCGUCCA